Long non-coding RNA from Nicotiana tabacum (common tobacco), 646 nucleotides. RefSeq lists it as uncharacterized. NCBI's taxonomy places the organism in Eukaryota, Viridiplantae, Streptophyta, Magnoliopsida, Solanales, Solanaceae. The record is from RefSeq and is a predicted model, not a curated record.
UUUUUAUACCUAAUAAAAUACUACUAUGAAAUACGUAAACCCCUAAAAAUUAGGGUACAAGCUCACUAUCGGAAAUUACAAGGAGAUCUCUUCCAAUCAUCUUCACCACCAAAAAUCAGCAAAAACUAGCCCAAAUCACCUUGAAAUCAGUCAAAAAAACAGCCCCAAAUACCCCAGCGAAAAUCAGUCAAAAAGACCUCAAAACAAUCACCUCUGAAAAUGGGUCCAAAUCUCAGUCAAAAGGAGGUCAAAACGCUGCAGAAGAUAACCAUUAGAGCAGCUCCAAAUUAUCAUCUCCUCCAAUACGAUCUCCUCCAGUCAACAGCUCUUCUCGCUUGUCAGCGCCAUUACCGACUCGCUCGCUCUCUGUUUGCUCAAUUACUCAAAAUUCAUUUUCCUUUCAAAAACCCUAGCAUCGAGUUUCUACUUAUUUACUAGCUCGCAUCGAGUUUCUACUUCGUACGUCUAAUUCGGGUGGAGUAGAAAUGAAAGACAGAGGCGGUGAUGAAGAUCUAGACCUUACUUAAGAGAAUUUUGAAUUAUUGAUUGUUGUAGAUGCAUGUGGCGGUUUUUAGGAAUGUUUGUUAUCAAGACAUUUUAAAACAUUUUUUAUUUAUAUAAUUUUUAGUGUUUUAUAGUUUAUUGU